ACUGGAAAACAUGGGGACACAGACACUGGGACACAUGGGGAUGCUGAGACACAUGGGGAUGCUGUGAGACAUAGGGACAUUGGGACACGGCGACACUAUGUCCCCCAGCCAGUGUCCCUAGUGUCUCAGUGUCCCCAAGUCUCCCAGUGUCUGUGUCCCAUGUCUCUCAGUG
Non-coding RNA from Pelobates cultripes (western spadefoot toad), 172 nucleotides. The record is from the annotation of a GenBank genome assembly. NCBI's taxonomy places the organism in Eukaryota, Metazoa, Chordata, Amphibia, Anura, Pelobatidae.